UCAUCCAAGGCUAUGCUUAGGUCAGUUAACCAUGAGACAUCAAGGGAGGAACUAAGGCGGCAACACCAGGCAGAAUUGGCCCGCCAAAAGAACGAAGAAACUGCACGGAGGCUCACAGGAGGAAGUUCUGGGGGGUCAGAUAGCCGUGGAGCUGUGAAAGCCACUGGUGAACUGGUUGCAUAUAAGAACGUUAAUGAUCUGCCACCUCCAAGAGAUUUGAUGAUUCAGGUUGACCAGAAGAAUGAGGCUAUUCUUUUACCUAUUCAUGGAACCAUGAUACCAUUCCAUGUCUCCACUGUGAAAAGUGUAUCUAGUCAACAAGAUACUAACCGUACCUGCUAUAUCCGAAUAAUGUUCAAUGUUCCUGGCACUCCAUUCACUCCUCAUGACACAAAUAGUCUAAAGUUCCAGGGGUCAAUAUAUGUUAAAGAAGUUUCAUUUCGUUCAAAGGACCCAAGGCACAUCACUGAAGUGGUUCAACAAAUAAGAUCCCUUCGCAGGCAGGUUGUCUCUAGAGAAUCAGAGAGAGCUGAGAGAGCAACUUUAGUAACACAGGAGAAACUUCAAGUUGCUGGAGCCAAAUUUAAGCCAAUAAAAUUGUCAGAUCUGUGGAUUCGUCCAGUAUUUGGUGGUCGUGGGAGAAAGCUUACUGGUACACUGGAAGCUCAUGCCAAUGGUUUCCGGUAUUCAACCACAAGACAAGAUGAACGUGUUGACAUCAUGUAUGGUAAUAUCAAGCAUGCCUUCUUCCAGCCAGCAGAGAAGGAGAUGAUUACCGUCCUCCACUUUC
RNAcentral lists this long non-coding RNA (790 nucleotides) under Nicotiana tabacum (common tobacco). Its description in RNAcentral is "long non-coding RNA (NTAB_LNC015371)". The record is from RNAcentral. Lineage: Eukaryota; Viridiplantae; Streptophyta; Magnoliopsida; Solanales; Solanaceae.